RNAcentral lists this ribosomal RNA (253 nucleotides) under uncultured bacterium. Its description in RNAcentral is "partial 16S ribosomal RNA". It matches the Rfam family "Bacterial small subunit ribosomal RNA", at positions 524 to 776 of the family's 1533-position model. The record is from RNAcentral.
UACGUAGGGUGCGAGCGUUAAUCGGAAUUACUGGGCGUAAAGCGUGCGCAGGCGGUUGUGCAAGACCGAUGUGAAAUCCCCGGGCUUAACCUGGGAAUGGCAUUGGUGACUGCACGGCUAGAGUGUGUCAGAGGGGGGUAGAAUUCCACGUGUAGCAGUGAAAUGCGUAGAGAUGUGGAGGAAUACCGAUGGCGAAGGCAGCCCCCUGGGAUAACACUGACGCUCAUGCACGAAAGCGUGGGGAGCAAACGGG